This is a non-coding RNA of Pelobates cultripes (western spadefoot toad), 3523 nucleotides long. Lineage: Eukaryota; Metazoa; Chordata; Amphibia; Anura; Pelobatidae. The record is from the annotation of a GenBank genome assembly.
GUGAAUUCAAAUAGCAUUAAUCAAGUUAAGGAUAAAAUGAAAAAACUUCAAUAUGACCGUAUGAUCUCUCUAAAAGCUGAAAAUGAAUUUGAUAGUUGGGGUUUCACAGCCCCAGAUCCUUUUCAAGCGUGUAAGGAAAGAGUAUGCAAGAAAGCCAUAGCAGGACUGGUAGAUCAAGAUGGUGAAACACAAACAGAAAGUAAGGAUAUUAUAAAUAUUGUCACAAAAUAUUUUAAGCAAUUGUUUGCAAGACAGCCUAUUGCAAAUGAAAAUAUUGUAAAAUAUUUGCAAGAUGUUGAUAAUCCGGUAUUAAAUGCAGUGGAUGCUGAGACCAUGGUUAAGCCUAUAACAGAGGAAGAAGUUAGAAAUAGCAUUCAAUCAUUAGUUGGGAAGAAAAGUCCAGGAUUGGAUGGGAUAACUGCAGAGUUUUAUAAAGUGUUUUUAGAUCUUUUGGUAACGGACCUUGUAGUGCUAUAUAAUGAAGUGCUAACUCUGGGACAGUUGCCGUCCUCACAGUAUGCCUCAGUCUUGGUACUUUUAUCUAAAAGUGGUAAUUUGAAUGAACUAAAGAACUGGCGUCCGUUAUCAUUAUUGAAUACUGAUUACAAAAUUCUUGCAAAAGUCAUGUUUAUGAGGCUUAGUGCGGUGGCUGAAAUUUUGGUAAGUCCGUGUCAGUCGUGUGCAGUUAAGAAUCGUAGCAUACAGGAUACACUGUUGCUAGUAAGAGAGGUGGUGGAAUAUGCUAAGCAGCAGAGAGAAGGUAUUUAUUUGGUAGGACUAGACCAGUCCAAAGCAUUUGACCGAGUACAUCAUGAAUUUUUAUUUGAGACUUUACGGAGAUAUGGCAUUCCUAAUACUUUUAUUAAAUGGUUGAAGAUAUUAUAUAAAGAAGCAAUAUGUUUCCCUUUAAUUAAUGGUAGUUUGGGAGACCCUUUUCAGGUUGAAUCUGGAGUUCGUCAGGGUUGUCCUAUAAGUCCUUUGCUUUAUGUUUUUAGCAUUGACCCUCUAUUAAGGAAAAUAAAAGGAAACCAUAAUUUUCAAGGCCUAGAAGUGAAAGUAGAAGGUGUUUCCGAGAGAAUCAAAGUUUGUGCUUAUGCAGAUGAUAUUUCUGUUUUUUUGAAAUCAGAAGCAGAUAACCAAUUGUUACAAAGGGAACUUAAAAGUUAUUCUCAAAUUUCCAACUCUAUGGUUAAUAUGGAGAAGAGUGAAGCAUUGUGGCUGGGGGAUAAUGCAGAAGCUUUUCAAAUCCCUUUUAAAAGAAAGGAUAAAACAAUCAAAGUGUUGGGUAUUACAUAUGGAUGUGUUGAAGACAUUGCCCAGAGAAAUUGGGAUGAUAAAUUUAAAAUAUUCUCAGAUAAAAUACACAAAUGGAAAAAUUGGAAAUGGUCUUACCAAAAGAAAAUUCAAGCUAUCAAAUGAUUUUUAUUUCCCAUUUUUAUUUAUACUAGUUUUGUCUUUCCAUUACCAGAUAAAUUAGUGGUUAAGAUAACCGGUUUGUUGUUCCAGCUAAUAUGGGGUAAUCGUUUAAAUAUUGUUAAACGUAACAUUUCAUAUCUCCAUAGGAAAGAUGGAGGAUUAGGCAUGUUGUGUCCAGAACUUUUUUACAAUCUCUUGUUUAUAACCAAGAAUUUAAGUUUUUUGAAAUCUGGUAGAACAGAUUUAUGGGGAGUCUUAUAUAAAAACCAAAUUAAUCACUUUGUUGGAGUUUGGACAAGAGGUGUAAAGAUCAAAAGAUUGUCUGGUAAGGUUAAACAUUGCUCUCUAUAUGCUCAGCAAUGUAUAAAGUUGUUGCUGAGAUGGCAAAUUUCAUAUGAAGAUAUCACUGGGCUAGAUAGAAAACAAUUAUAUCAUGUUCUGUUAAAUAAGUACUAUAGUGCCCAGCUGGUUUUAAAAGACUGCCCUAAUACCUUAAUGAAAAAAACCAUUCAGAAUGUUACUAGCACGAGAAUACCAGUUAAAUUGAGAGAUGUUAUUUGGCUUAGUUUUCAAGGAAAAUUAUACGUUCGCUCUAAUUUGAAAUUUAAAAAACUUGAGGAACGAAAUUGUCCAAGGGAAGAAUGUUCAGGGAUGUUAGAAACAAUGUCUCAUUUUUUGUGUGACUGUCCCUUUAGUUUAGCAAUAUGGUCAGAAAUGUCCAUACUUCUUAAAAUACCAAAUUUUAAAGGACAGUCCUACGCUGAAUUAGUAUAUGGAAAUUUCAAUUGGGCAGAUAAGAUUAACAAAUGCACUUUAUAUGUAAUUAAUUGUAUUGUAAUAUAUCAUUUAUGGCAAGCGAGGUGUUUAAAAUCUUCAAAACAAAUUAUUUUAACUACGGACUCUGUGAUUAAUCGGAUAAUUAAAGACAUAAAAGAUGUAUAUGUAAAAGAACAAACUACAGAUUGUUGGGAAAAUAUAGACAUGACAUUUUGUUUUUAAUUGUAUUUUUGUAUAUGUUUUUGAUACAUUGAACACUGUUUUGUAAUUUGUUGUAAGAAAAUUUAAUAAAAAAAAGUCCUACUAUUACUCCAUAUAACCUCUCUCUAUAACUCCUCCUAUUACUCCAUAUAACCUCUGCCUAUAACUCCUCCUAUUACUCCAUAUAACCUCUCCCUAUAACUCCUCCUAUUACUCCUUCCUCUCCCUAUAACUCCUCCUAUUACUCCAUAUAACCUCUCUCUAUAACUCCUCCUAUUACUCCAUAUAACUCCUCUCUAUAACUCCUCCUAUUACUCCCUAUAACCUCUCCCUAUAAUUUAUCCUAUUUCUUGUAUAAUAUCUCUAUAUAACUCCUGCAAUUACUCAUUUUAAACUCGCUAUAUCCUCUAUUCUUCAUCCUCUUACUCCAUAUAAACCCUCGCUCCAUACCAGUUCCUAUUACUUCAUAAAACCUCUCUCUAUAACUCCUCCUGUAACUCCAUAUAACCUCUCCCUAUAUCUCCUCCUAUUACUCCAUAUAACCUCUCCCUAUAUCUCCUCCUAUUACUCCAUAUAACCUCUCCCUAUAACUUCUCCUAUUACUCCAUAUAACCUCUCCCUAUAUCUCCUCCUAUUACUCCAUAUAACCUCGCUCUAUAUCUCCUCCUAUUACCCCAUAUAACCUCUCUCUAUAACUUCUCCUAUUACUCCAUAUAACCUCUCCCUAUAACUCCUCCUAUUACUCCAUAUAACCUCUCUCUAUAUCUCCACCUAUUACUUCAUAUAAACUCUCACUAUAACUCCUCCUAUUACUCCUAUAUAACCUCUCUCUAUAACUCCUCCUAUUACUCCAUAUAAGCUCUCUCUAUAACUCCUACUAUUAUUCCAUAUAUCUCCACCUAUUACUCCAUAUAACCUCUCCCUAUAACUCCUAUGUGUUGGAGCUCCUGUAGGGGGAUUGAGGAUGGCCUCAGACCCAAGUGGGGGUGUUCUGGAUACUAGUUCUGCUCUAGUCCCAGGCCUGGAGGUGUUGGAAGGCCAAGAAGCCCAAACAAAUGAAAGCAGACAUUUUAAGGAAAGUUUAAUUAGUAAAGCUUUGAUGGUUUUGGACAUAAGACUGGGAGAUGCU